GAAGCAAGCCAGUCAAGAACAUCCCUCCAUGGCCUCUGCAUCAGCUUCUGCUUCCUGACCUGUUUGAGUUCCAGUCCUGACUUCCUUCAGUGAUGAACAGCAGUAUGGAAGUCGUAUAUCCCCAGGACUCCUUCAGGACAUCCUGGACACUCACGACUUUCCAAGGAGAUCCAUCCCCUUCUUCACCAUCCAUCAAUCACAGUUCCAGGGAGCCACCCUUCAUGAAGUGCUGCUGGGAAAGUCUUUCAGCUUUCAUGUCCUUUAAUACAGUGGCAGUGUGACCAUGUGCCUCGUGAUGAAUGGAUGAUGUGUUUCAGCUGGUGAGCUACAAAGUUCUGGGCUGGGAAAAAAGACUGUGGGCACACUCAGAGCUCUCUAGUUCUCCCACGGUGCUCAGCUUAUCAUUCAAAACCCCAUGUAUCAAAUUUCUGACCUAAUUGUAUUUAUUGUGCUACAAAUGUUCAACUACCUGGUAACACUGAGUAUGAGAGGGUAGCUUGAGAAACUAUCCUGGAUGCAGUUGGACUGGAUGCAAUGUCCUGCCUUGGCCGUCUUCUAGGUGCAUGGUCUAUAUUACCAGGUUCACACUAUCUAGGAAUCCUAGCCACCGUGUGGUGUACCUAGUGACUGCUUCCCUGGUGUCUGAGCCCGUGUAGCUUUGAGUCUGCUGUAGGUGUAGUGGAUGGAUUCAAGGACAGCAUUCCAGUUCAGCAAGCCUAACCAUCGCCAUCACUGGAGAGUAAGGAGAGACCAGGAACACUGUAACCACUCAUAGACACCCAGUGCCCCCACAUUUUGUCAUCAGCGUCUGGAGUGUGUGUCACUGUGUGUUACUUUCAAGGCCCCUCUUUUGUACUUUAAAAUAAUUCAGUCCUAGAUUUUGCUUCUCACAAAAAAAUUGUAUUGAAGGAUUUUCUUUUUAAGAAUGUAUUUAUUUCUUUAAAAUAUAUUGCUGCACUCUGGUCUCAAAAAUGGGCAGAAAGUCACUGUCUGCUUGUUUUCUAAAGAUCUUAGAUUUAUGGGGAAAGGUGACAGAUUGAACCCAGAGACUGUGUGUGAAGUACAAGGACUGUAUAUAGUAAUCAAGUUCUUUAAGUAGGACUCACAAUGUAUGAGGAGACCUUGGCUACUCUUAUCAUAAAAAUACCCCAAGGGGGUCACUAUGUGUGUGACACCACAUGAUGAUGGUUAUACAUCAUUGCUGUAUACCUUAAGUAUAUGCAAUAAUGCUUACUAAAAAGAAGUACAUUGGAUUAAAGGGAAAUCCCUCUCAUAAAAGCAAGCAUCACUGUAAGAUUUGUGCAGUGCAAUUUAAGCAACAAACUGAAGGAACAGGAGGAGAGAAGUGAGAAGUGGGAAAUCACUGAUUUAACUUCUAAAGGUCUCUUAGAGUUGUAUGUGGUGCUGAAGUGUUUUAUAUAUCCUCAUAUUUUGAAAUGCAAUUAUUUGCUUGGAGAUAACAAGAUACCCAGACAAAUUUUAAUGAAUAAAAUGUUAUUGCCUAAAAUAAAGCAAACCACAGACUCUUCUGAUUCUGUAUUGUAAGCUGCAAAAACAAUACUGCAAAGUUUUCUGGAAGCAUUUAGAUUUAAAAUUCAAGGUUUGUCUGCUGCAAUAUGUGUUUUAAGCAGGAAAAAGCAUGAUAUUCUUAGAGUCUCUUAAGGCUGGAACAAGGUCAAGACUAUACAUUCUUUCUUGUGGAAUGCUGAGUCCUUCUACCACUUGAAAAGAACAUUUGCCGCGAAGCAUUCGACUGAUGUGAAGCAUUUUAAAUAAUUGGUAAAAAUAGUUUCCUCUGAUGAGCUGUAAAUUCUCACACCGCCAUGCGGUGGGGCUGGUGGACAAAGGUUGGUUCAUGGCUUUUGCUUUUUGGAUCGUUGCUAUGUGUGAAAUGUCAGCUUUUGUAGUUCUUACUAGCUUGUUAAGUCUGAUAAAUUUCCUGCUUACUUUUAUAUUUCUAUUGAAAAAUUCUUGCACUGCAUCAUAGUAACUUAGUUCUUCAAGAGUUGCAGAGACAUAUGAUGGUAACAACCAAGAAAUUACCUCACAAAAAGGCAGCUAUGGGACAUGGCAUCUAUAGUGCAACCUUAAUGCCUAGGCAGUAUCUUUUAUUUUUAACAAAGCACACCAUUAGUGAGACAUAAUCCAUGCUGUGCUGGUGCAUGCUGUUAAUUCUAGGACUCAGGAAGCAGAGGCACAUGGAUCUGUGGGAGUUUGAGGCCAGCCUGUGAUGACACAGUGAAUUCUAGGACAUCUAGAGCAGCAGAGUGGGACCCUGUAUCAAAACAAAUAAAUAAAAGAUAUUGUAC
RNAcentral lists this long non-coding RNA (2309 nucleotides) under Mus musculus (house mouse). RNAcentral describes it as "predicted gene, 48453". Lineage: Eukaryota; Metazoa; Chordata; Mammalia; Rodentia; Muridae. The record is from RNAcentral.